UACGUAUGGUGCAAGCGUUAUCCGGAUUUACUGGGUGUAAAGGGAGCGCAGGCGGCACGGCAAGCCUAAUGUGAAAGCCCGCGGCCCAACCGCGGGACUGCAUUGGGAACUACCGGGCUGGAGUGCCGGAGAGGUAGGCGGAAUUCCUAGUGUAGCGGUGAAAUGCGUAGAUAUUAGGAGGAACACCAGUGGCGAAGGCGGCCUACUGGACGGUGACUGACGCUGAGGCUCGAAAGCGUGGGGAGCAAACAGG
This 253-nucleotide ribosomal RNA is filed under the name uncultured bacterium. RNAcentral's name for it is "partial 16S ribosomal RNA". It matches the Rfam family "Bacterial small subunit ribosomal RNA", at positions 524 to 776 of the family's 1533-position model. The record is from RNAcentral.